Panthera uncia (snow leopard) is the source of this 813-nucleotide long non-coding RNA. RefSeq lists it as uncharacterized. The record is from RefSeq and is a predicted model, not a curated record. Lineage: Eukaryota; Metazoa; Chordata; Mammalia; Carnivora; Felidae. The transcript is spliced from 5 exons.
CGACUGCCGCCUCCUGACGCCACCUCCUGAGCGGCUGUCGGGGGCCCGCCCAGCUGUUGACAAAGGCCGCACUGUAGAACCCGGGUUUGGUGAAGGGUUGGAUUCCAAGCCACCACUUGUUAGGCCUCCCACUGGUCAUAGCUACACAAAGUGUAAUCAUAAGAAAACAUCAGAGAAACCCCAGUUGAAGGAUAUUAUGCACAGUACCUGACCAGUACUCCUCAAAAUUGAUUGUGGUUAUCAAGAACAAGGAAAGUCUUAGAAACUGUCAAGCCAAGAGAAGCCUAUGGAAACAUUACAACUAACUGUAAUAUGAUAUCUUGGAUGGGAUCCUGGAAAAGAAGAAAAGAUAUUAGGUCUCUAGACUUUUGUUGAGUGAAGAACAAUUUACUAUGAGGUGACCUACAAAAACAACACUCAGAAUUCUCUCAAAUCACAUUGGUCAGUGCAAUCAGCUCUCAGAUAUUUGCUUGAGAAGCAGCCACAGGAGGCCAGCAAGAGGCAGAGAAGCUGGGGCCUUCCAAGGGGCCAGAAAGGAAGCAGGAGGAUCUUGGGUCAUGAUGUGGGACCUGAUGACACACAGUGGAACAGCAUCCAGAAGAGCUGCUGAGGUCAAAAAGGGGAAUCAAAAUGUUUCUUUAUUUUGAGAGAGAGAAUGCAAGCGAGGGAGGAGCAGAGAGAGAGGGGAAGAGAGAGAAUCCCAAGCAGGCUCCAUACUGUCAGCGCAGAGCCCAACUUGGGCCUUGAACUCAUCAACCAGGAGAUCACAACCUGAGCCAAAAUCAGGAAUCGGAUGCUCAACCAACUGAGCCA